This 21-nucleotide unclassified non-coding RNA is filed under the name Mus musculus (house mouse). Its description in RNAcentral is "oocyte_clustered_small_RNA522". Lineage: Eukaryota; Metazoa; Chordata; Mammalia; Rodentia; Muridae. The record is from RNAcentral.
UAUCCACUGCAGGUGUUUGAA